CCGAGUUUACAACUCCCAAACCCCAGUGUGAACGUUACCAAACCGUUGCCUCGGCGGGAUCUCUGCCCCGGGCGCGUCGCAGCCCCGGAUCCCACGGCGCCCGCCGGAGGACCAACCAAACGCUCCUUUUUUUUUCUUUCUUUCCUUCUUCCCCAUCGGGUCGCGAUCCUCGCGGCUCUGGGAAAGGAUUUUCUUGCUCUGAGCCUUUCUCGGCGACCCUUCGCGGGCGUCUCGAAAAUGAAUCA
Molecule: unclassified non-coding RNA, 245 nt
Filed under: uncultured Trichoderma
Lineage: Eukaryota; Fungi; Ascomycota; Sordariomycetes; Hypocreales; Hypocreaceae
Description: sequence contains ITS1
Source: RNAcentral